GCGGGUGUAGCUCAGCCCGGUUAGAGCGCCACGCUCAUAACGUGGAUGUCACGAGUUCAAAUCUCGCCACCCGCA
RNAcentral lists this transfer RNA (75 nucleotides) under Candidatus Woesearchaeota archaeon. RNAcentral describes it as "tRNA-Met". It matches the Rfam family "tRNA". Rfam says of the family: Transfer RNA (tRNA) molecules are approximately 80 nucleotides in length. Their secondary structure includes four short double-helical elements and three loops (D, anti-codon, and T loops). Further hydrogen bonds mediate the characteristic L-shaped molecular structure. tRNAs have two regions of fundamental functional importance: the anti-codon, which is responsible for specific mRNA codon recognition, and the 3' end, to which the tRNAs corresponding amino acid is attached (by aminoacyl-tRNA synthetases). tRNAs cope with the degeneracy of the genetic code in two manners: having more than one tRNA (with a specific anti-codon) for a particular amino acid; and 'wobble' base-pairing, i.e. permitting non-standard base-pairing at the 3rd anti-codon position. The record is from RNAcentral. Lineage: Archaea; Nanobdellati; Candidatus Woesearchaeota.